This 1314-nucleotide ribosomal RNA is filed under the name uncultured Alphaproteobacteria bacterium. RNAcentral describes it as "uncultured alpha proteobacterium 16S ribosomal RNA". It matches the Rfam family "Bacterial small subunit ribosomal RNA", at positions 33 to 1394 of the family's 1533-position model. Lineage: Bacteria; Pseudomonadati; Pseudomonadota; Alphaproteobacteria. The record is from RNAcentral.
ACGCUGGCGGCACGCCUAACACAUGCAAGUCGAACGAAGUAGCAAUACUUAGUGGCAGACGGGUGAGUAACAUGUAGGUAUCUGCCCUUUGGCCUGGAAUAACACGAGGAAACUUGUGCUAAUACCGGAUAAGUCUUUACGGAGAAAGCUUUAUGCACCAUUGGAUGAGCCUGCACUUGAUUAGUUUGUUGGUGGGGUAAUGGCCUACCAAGACUGUGAUCAAUAGCUGAUUUGAGAGGAUGAUCAGCCACAUUGGGACUGAGACACGGCCCAAACUCCUACGGGAGGCAGCAGUGGGGAAUCUUGCACAAUGGAGGAAACUCUGAUGCAGCGAUGCCGCGUGAGUGAAGAAGGCCUUUGGGUUGUAAAGCUCUUUCGUCGGGGAAGAAAAUGACUGUACCCGAAUAAGAAGGUCCGGCUAACUUCGUGCCAGCAGCCGCGGUAAUACGAAGGGACCUAGCGUAGUUCGGAAUUACUGGGCUUAAAGAGUUCGUAGGUGGUUGAAAAAGUUGGUGGUGAAAUCCCAGAGCUUAACUCUGGAACUGCCAUCAAAACUUUUCAGCUAGAGUAUGAUAGAGGAAAGCAGAAUUUCUAGUGUAGAGGUGAAAUUCGUAGAUAUUAGAAAGAAUACCAAUUGCGAAGGCAGCUUUCUGGAUCAUUACUGACACUGAGGAACGAAAGCAUGGGUAGCGAAGAGGAUUAGAUACCCUCGUAGUCCAUGCCGUAAACGAUGUGUGUUAGACGUUGGAAAUUUAUUUUCAGUGUCGCAGCGAAAGCGAUAAACACACCGCCUGGGGAGUACGACCGCAAGGUUAAAACUCAAAUGAAUUGACGGGGACCCGCACAAGUAGUGGAGCAUGUGGUUUAAUUCGAAGAUACGCGCAGAACCUUACCAACACUUGACAUGUUCGUCGCGACUCUAAGAGAUUAGAGUUUUCGGUUCGGCCGGACGAAACACAGGUGCUGCAUGGCUGUCGUCAGCUCGUGUCGUGAGAUGUUGGGUUAAGUCCCGCAACGAGCGCAACCCUCACUUUUAGUUGCCAUCAUUAAGUUGGGCACUCUGAAAGAACUGCCAGUGAUAAGCUGGAGGAAGGUGGGGAUGACGUCAAGUCCUCAUGGCCCUUACGUGUUGGGCUACACACGUGCUACAAUGGUAUCUACAACAGGAAGCAAAACUGCGAAGUUAAGCAAAUCCCUAAAAGAUACCUCAGUUCGGAUUGCACUCUGCAACUCGAGUGCAUGAAGCUGGAAUUACUAGUAAUCGUGGAUCAGCGUGCCACGGUGAAUGCGUUCCCGGGUCUUGUACACACCGCC